CACCAAAAUUAUCUAAUUUUUCCAAUGUAAAAUUUUCAGAAUUUUAAUUCCAAUGGAAUUUUUGAGAAUCCUCUUUUUUAUUCUCUUUCAAAACAGAAACGUGGAGCAGAUAUCUUGAAUUUAAGUGAAAGCAUCUCCAAGCACUGUCUGAGGGAAUUACUUAGUGCUCACUCCUUGGACCAAGCGCUUCACGCCGAAUUACUAGCAUCACUCCAAACUUCUCUGUGUGGUGGUUUGCCAUCUGAGAAACAUUAAAAACAGCUGUGGAUGUUAAAGAUGCUCCCUGCUCCCCACAACAACAGUGUUUCAUGGCAUCAGAGUUAAUAGCUGUGGAAGGACUGAGCACAACUGACUGAGGCUAUGAAAUGUCACUACAUUUGCAUUGGAUGGUCUUCUGUCCUGUGCCAGCAGGGAAGAAAGGUAACAGCACUUUAGAUUAACAGUCUCUGAUGUGCAUAUAAUUAGGAUUAAGUUUGCACUUUGUGUGAUAAAUAAG
Molecule: long non-coding RNA, 496 nt
Filed under: Calidris pygmaea (Spoon-billed sandpiper)
Lineage: Eukaryota; Metazoa; Chordata; Aves; Charadriiformes; Scolopacidae
Description: lncRNA (ENSCPGG00000000856.1)
Source: RNAcentral